AUACGUAGGGAGCGAGCGUUGUCCGGAAUUACUGGGUGUAAAGGGUGCGUAGGCGGGUAGACAAGUCAGGUGUGAAAACCAUCGGCUCAACCGGUGAACUGCACUUGAAACUGUAAAUCUUGAGUGAAGUAGCGGCAAGCGGAAUUCCGAGUGUAGCGGUGAAAUGCGUAGAUAUUCGGAGGAACACCAGUGGCGAAGGCGGCUUGCUGGGCUUUAACUGACGCUGAGGCACGAAAGCGUGGGGAGCAAACAGGAUUAGAUACCCUGGUAGUCCACGCUGUAAACGAUGAAUGCUAGGUGUGGGGGGACUGACCCCUUCCGUGCCGGAGUAAACACAAUAAGCAUUCCACCUGGGGAGUACGACCGCAAGGUUGAAACUCAAAUGAAUUGACGGGG
RNAcentral lists this ribosomal RNA (396 nucleotides) under uncultured bacterium. RNAcentral's name for it is "partial 16S ribosomal RNA". It matches the Rfam family "Bacterial small subunit ribosomal RNA", at positions 523 to 918 of the family's 1533-position model. The record is from RNAcentral.